CAUACUUUUGAGUAACUGCUUCCUGUUGUCCUAAAGUUGGACAGAGACAGAGUUAUUACCCUGCUGUGAUUCUACUGAAGACAGUAAGUACUCCCACGUCAGCAGAAGCUGAAAGUAAUUCUGAAUUCCUGUGCACUGACAUGCGAACGCAGCCCACCUGCUCGAUGUCACCCCGACUGGGAAUCUGAGCUGUGGCUUGCACUUUGAUCUCACGAUUGUAAAAAUUUCCAAACUUCCACAGAUAGUUGUUUUUUCUGGGGAGGAGCAUAAAACUGAAGAUCUACCAACUGGAAAGAAGGUGGAGAUGGUUAAAGCCAUUCGUUACUGAUUCGACAGCGAAGUUUGGUGAGAGGAGACCUCUGUGGGGUAAUCAGUUCAGUCUUCAGGUGAGAACAAAAGUCAGUGCUGGAGACAAAAAAAACUGCAAAUGCUGGAAUCGAAGGUAGAUAAACAGGAGGCUGGAAGAACACAGCAGGCCAGGCAGCAACAAAUCCAUCUCGUUUGUUGCUGUUGUGCUGCAGGAGAUGAGCGAUGAAAUCUGUUGACAAACACAUGCAUGCACACAAACAUGUGCAGACAUAUGUGAUACAGUCCGUGACAAAGGGAAGCUCUGCACUGGGGAAGAGACAGAGAUGAAAAUUCACAAACAGUUUUUUCAUCAGACAGCAGGGUCAAGCACAUACUUCUGCUUUUCCCGGAGAUCCCGAGUCUUGUUGCGGUUUGGACGGUUGGUGGUGGUCGGGAUGGAGUGCACAGACGAGCUUUUCUUACUGGAAGUGUGUGAGGAAUGAGACGAGUGCGAUAAGCUGCCACGAGAUUGGCCAGCAUUAUGGUCAAAUUGCAUCAAACAGAAGAUCACAUCCGUUGAGACUAGUUCGAAUUCAUAAUGUGGAUUAGCAAUCACAUAUCUGAAGAGGAAGAAGAAAUAUAAAUGAACUAUGUAAAUUGUCCAAGGGAUUGGCACAUUAUGAUGCACAU
Molecule: long non-coding RNA, 978 nt
Organism: Stegostoma tigrinum
Lineage: Eukaryota; Metazoa; Chordata; Chondrichthyes; Orectolobiformes; Stegostomatidae
Exons: 3
Source: RefSeq, a predicted model, not a curated record